Molecule: ribosomal RNA, 305 nt
Filed under: uncultured bacterium
Lineage: Bacteria
Description: bacterial SSU rRNA
Rfam family: Bacterial small subunit ribosomal RNA
Source: RNAcentral
AUCCUACGGGGGGCAGCAGUGGGGAAUAUUGCGCAAUGGGCGAAAGCCUGACGCAGCGACGCCGCGUGAGGGAUGAAGGUCUUCGGAUCGUAAACCUCUGUCAGCAGGGAAGAACGGUCACUGUGCUAAUCAGCAGUGAAUUGACGGUACCUGACUAAGAAGCCCCGGCUAACUACGUGCCAGCAGCCGCGGUAAUACGUAGGGGGCAAGCGUUAUCCGGAUUUACUGGGUGUAAAGGGAGCGUAGACGGCUGUGCAAGUCUGGAGUGAAAGGCAUGGGCUCAACCUGUGGACUGCUUUGGAAAC